GGGUAGAGUAAUGCGUGACCAACCUGCCCCAUGCUCCAGAAUAGCUCUUGGAAACGGGUGGUAAUGCUGGAUGCUCCAACUUGACGCAUGUCUUGUUGGGAAAGUGUUUAGUGGCAUGGGAUGGGGUCGCGUCCUAUCAGCUUGUAGGCGGGGUAAUGGCCCACCUAGGCUUCGACGGGUAGCCGGCCUGAGAGGGCGGACGGCCACAUUGGGACUGAGAUACGGCCCAGACUCCUACGGGAGGCAGCAGAA
Molecule: ribosomal RNA, 252 nt
Filed under: uncultured Gardnerella sp.
Lineage: Bacteria; Bacillati; Actinomycetota; Actinomycetes; Bifidobacteriales; Bifidobacteriaceae
Description: partial 16S ribosomal RNA
Rfam family: Bacterial small subunit ribosomal RNA
Source: RNAcentral